Molecule: long non-coding RNA, 218 nt
Filed under: Elaeis guineensis (African oil palm)
Lineage: Eukaryota; Viridiplantae; Streptophyta; Magnoliopsida; Arecales; Arecaceae
Description: long non-coding RNA (EGUI_LNC061835)
Source: RNAcentral
GUCCUAAGGGUUUGGGAAGAGAGAAUAAAUUAAAGAGAUUAUUUUCUUCUCCAUCUUUCUUCCUCCUCUUCAUCUCCUCCAGAAGUCCAUGUUCAAUCUUUGAAAAGGUUCUAAAGAUUUGAAGAAAGGAUCCAAAUCAACCAAGAAGAAGGUCUUCAUGCAAAUUAGCAUUCUCGAGAAGGCUAAUCAGAUCAGGACUUCGAGUGGACUUUCUGUAG